CUACGUGCCAGCAGCCGCGGUAAUACGUAUGUCACAAGCGUUAUCCGGAUUUAUUGGGCGUAAAGCGCGUCUAGGUGGUUAUGUAAGUCUGAUGUGAAAAUGCAGGGCUCAACUCUGUAUUGCGUUGGAAACUGCAUGACUAGAGUACUGGAGAGGUAAGCGGAACUACAAGUGUAGAGGUGAAAUUCGUAGAUAUUUGUAGGAAUGCCGAUGGGGAAGCCAGCUUACUGGACAGAUACUGACGCUAAAGCGCGAAAGCGUGGGUAGCAAACAGGAUUAGAUACCCUGGUAGUCCACGCCGUAAACGAUGAUUACUAGGUGUUGGGGGUCGAACCUCAGCGCCCAAGCUAACGCGAUAAGUAAUCCGCCUGGGGAGUACGUACGCAAGUAUGAAACUCAAAGGAAUUGACGGGGGCCCGCACAAGCGGAGGAACAUGUGGUUUAAUUCGAUGAUACGCGAGGGACCUUACCCGGGCUUGAAUUGCAGAGGAAGGAUUUAGAGAUA
Molecule: ribosomal RNA, 505 nt
Filed under: uncultured bacterium
Lineage: Bacteria
Description: bacterial SSU rRNA
Rfam family: Bacterial small subunit ribosomal RNA
Source: RNAcentral